Molecule: ribosomal RNA, 431 nt
Filed under: uncultured bacterium
Lineage: Bacteria
Description: partial 16S ribosomal RNA
Rfam family: Bacterial small subunit ribosomal RNA
Source: RNAcentral
AACGAACGCUGGCGGCAUGCUUAACACAUGCAAGUCGAACGCCCCGCAGGGGGAGUUGCAGAUGGGUGAGUAACGCGUGGGAACAUACCCUUUCCUGCGGAAUAGCUCCGGGAAACUGGAAUUAAUACCGCAUACGCCCUACGGUGGAAAGAUUUAUCGGGGAAGGAUUGGAUCGCGUUGGAUUGGCUAGUUUGUUGGGUAAAGGCCUACCAAGGCGACGAUCCAUAGCUGGUCUGAGAGGAUGAUCAGCCACAUUGGGACUGAGACACGGCCCAAACUCCUACGGGAAGCAGCAGUGGGGAAUAUUGGACAAUGGGCGCAAGCAUGAUCCAGCCAUGCCGCGUGAGUGAUGAAGGCCUUAGGGUUGUAAAGCUCUUUCACCGAUGAAGAUAAUGACGGUAGUCGGAGAAGAAGCCCCGGCUAACUUCGUG